This 503-nucleotide ribosomal RNA is filed under the name uncultured bacterium. Its description in RNAcentral is "partial 16S ribosomal RNA". It matches the Rfam family "Bacterial small subunit ribosomal RNA", at positions 30 to 523 of the family's 1533-position model. The record is from RNAcentral.
AUUGAACGCUGGCGGCAGGCUUAACACAUGUAAGUCGAGCGGGGUGAUGGUGCUUGCACUAUCACUUAGCGGCGGACGGGUGAGUAAUGCUUAGGAAUCUGCCUAUUAGUGGGGGACAACAUCUCGAAAGGGAUGCUAAUACCGCAUACGUCCUACGGGAGAAAGCAGGGGAUCACUUGUGACCUUGCGCUAAUAGAUGAGCCUAAGUCGGAUUAGCUAGUUGGUGGGGUGAAGGCCUACCAAGGCGACGAUCUGUAGCGGGUCUGAGAGGAUGAUCCGCCACACUGGGACUGAGACACGGCCCAGACUCCUACGGGAGGCAGCAGUGGGGAAUAUUGGACAAUGGGGGGAACCCUGAUCCAGCCAUGCCGCGUGUGUGAAGAAGGCCUUAUGGUUGUAAAGCACUUUAAGCGAGGAGGAGGCUCUUUUGGUUAAUACCCAAGAUGAGUGGACGUUACUCGCAGAAUAAGCACCGGCUAACUCUGUGCCAGCCGCCGCAGUAA